RNAcentral lists this ribosomal RNA (496 nucleotides) under uncultured bacterium. Its description in RNAcentral is "partial 16S ribosomal RNA". It matches the Rfam family "Bacterial small subunit ribosomal RNA", at positions 28 to 506 of the family's 1533-position model. The record is from RNAcentral.
GAUGAACGCUGGCGGCGUGCCUAAUACAUGCAAGUCGAGCGAACAGACGAGGAGCUUGCUCCUCUGACGUUAGCGGCGGACGGGUGAGUAACACGUGGAUAACCUACCUAUAAGACUGGGAUAACUUCGGGAAACCGGAGCUAAUACCGGAUAAUAUAUUGAACCGCAUGGUUCAAUAGUGAAAGACGGUUUUGCUGUCACUUAUAGAUGGAUCCGCGCCGCAUUAGCUAGUUGGUAAGGUAACGGCUUACCAAGGCAACGAUGCGUAGCCGACCUGAGAGGGUGAUCGGCCACACUGGAACUGAGACACGGUCCAGACUCCGACGGGAGGCAGCAGUAGGGAAUCUUCCGCAAUGGGCGAAAGCCUGACGGAGCAACGCCGCGUGAGUGAUGAAGGUCUUCGGAUCGUAAAACUCUGUUAUUAGGGAAGAACAAAUGUGUAAGUAACUAUGCACGUCUUGACGGGACCUAAUCAGAAAGCCACGGCUAACUACGU